Molecule: ribosomal RNA, 253 nt
Filed under: uncultured bacterium
Lineage: Bacteria
Description: partial 16S ribosomal RNA
Rfam family: Bacterial small subunit ribosomal RNA
Source: RNAcentral
UACGGAGGGGGCAAGCGUUAUUCGGAAUUAUUGGGCGUAAAGGGCGCGUAGGCGGCUAGAUGUGUCAAAGGUGAAAUCCCUCGGCUCAACUGAGGAACUGCCUUUGAAACUGUCUGGCUUGAGGCCGGGAGAGGGUAGCGGAAUUCCCAGUGUAGCGGUGAAAUGCGUAGAUAUUGGGAGGAACACCAGUGGCGAAGGCGGCUACCUGGACCGGUUCUGACGCUGAGGCGCGAAAGCUAGGGGAGCAAACGGG